GGCCGGGUAGCCAAGAGGUAAGGCAUGGCUCUGCAAAAGCCAUAUACAGGGGUUCGAAUCCCCUCCCGGCCUCCA
This 75-nucleotide transfer RNA is filed under the name Candidatus Doudnabacteria bacterium RIFCSPHIGHO2_01_52_17. Its description in RNAcentral is "tRNA-Cys". It matches the Rfam family "tRNA". Rfam says of the family: Transfer RNA (tRNA) molecules are approximately 80 nucleotides in length. RNAcentral also lists the same sequence under 2 other names. Lineage: Bacteria; Candidatus Doudnaibacteriota. The record is from RNAcentral.